GACGAAGGGGGCUAGCGUUGUUCGGAAUUACUGGGCGUAAAGCGCGUGUAGGCGGUUGUCCAAGUUGAAUGUGAAAGCCUUGAGCUCAACUCAAGAAAUGCAUUCAGGACUGGAUGACUAGAGGACCGGAGAGGAUAGUGGAAUUCCCAGUGUAGUGGUGAAAUACGUAGAGAUUGGGAAGAACACCAGUGGCGAAGGCGGCUAUCUGGACGGUUUCUGACGCUAAGACGCGAAAGCGUGGGGAGCAAACGGG
This 253-nucleotide ribosomal RNA is filed under the name uncultured bacterium. Its description in RNAcentral is "partial 16S ribosomal RNA". It matches the Rfam family "Bacterial small subunit ribosomal RNA", at positions 524 to 776 of the family's 1533-position model. The record is from RNAcentral.